RNAcentral lists this ribosomal RNA (506 nucleotides) under uncultured bacterium. RNAcentral describes it as "partial 16S ribosomal RNA". It matches the Rfam family "Bacterial small subunit ribosomal RNA", at positions 28 to 523 of the family's 1533-position model. The record is from RNAcentral.
GAUGAACGCUAGCUACAGGCUUAACACAUGCAAGUCGAGGGGUAACGAGAGGAAAGCUUGCUUUCCUUGUCGACGACCGGCGCACGGGUGAGUAACGCGUAUCCAACCUGCCCCCAACUAGGGAAUAACCUUGCGAAAGUAAGACUAAUACCCUAUAAUUUCCUCAGAUGUCAUCUGACGAGGAAUAAAGAUUUAUCGGUUGUGGAUGGGGAUGCGUCUGAUUAGCUUGUUGGCGGGGUAACGGCCCACCAAGGCAACGAUCAGUAGGGGUUGUGAGAGGAAGGUCCCCCACAUUGGGAGUGAGACACGGUCCAAACUCCUAAGGGAGGCAGCAGUGAGGAAUAUUGGUCAAUGGGCGGAAGCCUGAACCAGCCAAGUAGCGUGCAGGAUGACGGCCCUAUGGGUUGUAAACUGCUUUUAUACAGGAAUAAAGUUAGCCACGUGUGGUUAUUUGUAGGUACUGUAUGAAUAAGGACCGGCUAAUUCCGUGCCAGCAGCCGCCGUAA